GUGAAUCAUCGAAUUUUUGAACGCAAAUUGCGCUUCCUGGUAUCCCGGGAAGUAUGCCUGUUUGGGGGUCAGUAUUAACAAAACAUCGGUUUGGUUGCAAAUUGUGACGUUUCCGGUGUUUGGGCUUAUCUUAACUUUUUUGGUUAUGGGGUUUAAAAUUGAACUUUUUUGCGCAUUUUUAGACGUACAUACAUUUUUUUUUUUUUUUGUCUUUUAUUAAUGUUAAAGUCUUAUUAGAUGCGAUCAUAACGUGUGGCUUCGUGUUCUU
RNAcentral lists this unclassified non-coding RNA (268 nucleotides) under Glomeraceae sp. RNAcentral describes it as "partial contains 5.8S ribosomal RNA and internal transcribed spacer 2". The stretch from base 1 to 71 matches the Rfam family "5.8S ribosomal RNA", at positions 84 to 154 of the family's 154-position model. Lineage: Eukaryota; Fungi; Glomeromycota; Glomeromycetes; Glomerales; Glomeraceae. The record is from RNAcentral.